GACGGAGGGUGCAAACGUUGUUCGGAAUUACUGGGCGUAAAGCGCGUGUAGGCUGCUUGGAAAGUCGGAUGUGAAAGCCCUGGGCUCAACCUAGGAAGUGCAUUCGAAACUUCUGAGCUGGAGUUCUGGAGAGGAAGGCGGAAUUCUCGGUGUAGAGGUGAAAUUCGUAGAUAUCGAGAGGAACACCGGUGGCGAAGGCGGCCUUCUGGACAGUGACUGACGCUGAGACGCGAAAGCGUGGGGAGCAAACAGG
Molecule: ribosomal RNA, 253 nt
Filed under: uncultured bacterium
Lineage: Bacteria
Description: partial 16S ribosomal RNA
Rfam family: Bacterial small subunit ribosomal RNA
Source: RNAcentral